RNAcentral lists this ribosomal RNA (466 nucleotides) under uncultured Sphingobacteriales bacterium. Its description in RNAcentral is "bacterial SSU rRNA". It matches the Rfam family "Bacterial small subunit ribosomal RNA", at positions 916 to 1381 of the family's 1533-position model. The record is from RNAcentral. Lineage: Bacteria; Pseudomonadati; Bacteroidota; Sphingobacteriia; Sphingobacteriales.
GACGGGGCCCGCACAAGCGGUGGAGCAUGUGGUUUAAUUCGAUGAUACGCGAGGAACCUUACCUGGGCUCAAAUGUAUGUUGACGUAUUCUGAAAGGGAUACUUCUUCGGACAAUAUACAAGGUGCUGCAUGGUUGUCGUCAGCUCGUGCCGUGAGGUGUCGGGUUAAGUCCCAUAACGAGCGCAACCCCUAUCAUUAGUUGCCAUCAGGUCAAGCUGGGGACUCUAAUGAAACUGCCUACGCAAGUAGUGAGGAAGUGGGGAUGACGUCAAAUCAGCACGGCCCUUACGUCCAGGGCUACACACGUGCUACAAUGGCCGGUACAAAGGGCAGCUACCUGGUGACAGGAUGCUAAUCUCAAAAGCCGGUCUCAGUCCGGAUCGGAGUCUGCAACCCGACUCCGUGAGGCUGGAAUCGCUAGUAAUCGCGCAUCAGCCAUGGCGCGGUGAAUACGUUCCCGGGCCUU